RNAcentral lists this non-coding RNA (19 nucleotides) under Arabidopsis thaliana (thale cress). The record is from RNAcentral. Lineage: Eukaryota; Viridiplantae; Streptophyta; Magnoliopsida; Brassicales; Brassicaceae.
UGAAGGGUUUACGAUGGUA